GUUGAUUUUUAUGCUAAUAUAUAAAUUUUAAUAUUUAUUCAGCUUGGUCGAAUUAUUUCAAAUGUGGCACGAUUAAAGAGGGGCAUUUUAAAUUUAAUACUUGACAAGGCUGUUAAAAUUUUUAUAUUAUAAUUAAGAGAUGAAGUGAUCGCUAUAAACUUUAAUCCCCAAUCAAAUUAACUAUCACUGAUUGACAUAAAACAUUUUUAUAUCGAAUAUCGUGUGGAGCCGGAAAAUUCAUACAUAAAAUAUUUAAAAGAAUAUCUAUCGAUUAUUUUUAAAAUUGUGAUUAUUGAACAAAUCUUGUACAAUAGUCUAUUUAUAUCUUUUUUUAAUCGCAUUUUCAAUUAAUAAACUAUAGUUGUUCUUUUGAUAAAGGGACGAUCGGAGAUAUUAGAAAUAACAGGCUAGAAAAGCAAAAUUUCAUAGUAAUUAAGAGUUUGAGACCUGCUAAAUUUAAUUCUAAAAAUAUUAAUCAAAAUAACUAAAUAUACUCCAGUUAUAAUAAUUCCCAAUAAUCAAUAAAUAGAGAAUUUUAAAUAAUAAUUAUCAUUAAGAACUCAAAUUUACUCGUGCAACAAGUUAACUAUUACGCUGAGAUGGCUAAUUUCCAAU
RNAcentral lists this long non-coding RNA (615 nucleotides) under Cryptosporidium parvum. Lineage: Eukaryota; Apicomplexa; Conoidasida; Eucoccidiorida; Cryptosporidiidae. The record is from RNAcentral.